RNAcentral lists this ribosomal RNA (294 nucleotides) under uncultured bacterium. RNAcentral's name for it is "partial 16S ribosomal RNA". It matches the Rfam family "Bacterial small subunit ribosomal RNA", at positions 337 to 623 of the family's 1533-position model. The record is from RNAcentral.
UCCUACGGGGCGCAGCAGUAGGGAAUCUUCCACAAUGGGCGAAAGUCUGAUGGAGCAACGCCGCGUGAGUGAAGAAGGGCUUCGGAUCGUAAAACCCUGUUGGUAGAGAAGAAAGAUCGAGGGAGUAACUGGUCUCUUUUUGACGGUAUCUACCUAGAAAGCCACGGCUAACUACGUGCCAGCAGCCGCGGUAAUACGUAGGUGGCAAGCGUUAUCCGGAAUUAUUGGGCGUAAAGCGAGCGCAGGCGGCCUUAUAAGUCUGAUGUGAAAGCCUUCGGCUCAACCGGAGAAGUG